Molecule: long non-coding RNA, 928 nt
Filed under: Capsicum annuum
Lineage: Eukaryota; Viridiplantae; Streptophyta; Magnoliopsida; Solanales; Solanaceae
Description: long non-coding RNA (CANN_LNC021826)
Source: RNAcentral
UACCACUCUCUCGCACACUCUUAUCACUGCGAAAAAAAAAAAAAAAAAAUGUUCAAGAGAUUCUUUCAAGCCUUCCGUCGUGCUUCUCAGACCUUUGCCUUCUCCCCCAAAGCCAAUGGGUUUCCAGUUAACAAAGGCUUUUCCCAAAUCAACAUGUUUGUGGUGCAGCGGAUGGGUCGCUGUUCGAUCCUGAGCAUGGAGAAAAUACGCUACAUGAAUGGGGCCUACCGGCGUGAAUUCAAAUUAGUCAAACUCCAAUGCGGGUACCGGAUACCGAAUAAGAAAAAAAAAAAAAAGAAAAAAAAGAAAAAAAAAAAAACUUCUCCCCAAAACCUGGUACCACCACCGCCUUCUCCCCACAUGAACAUGGGCUUUUCAGGUCGAUUUGACACCAAAACUGUUGUUGCUACCACAUGAACUUACCUCUAGUUACUAACCCACUUCAAUUUCUCGACCCUGAACGUGGAUUUCAGGGCAAAACCCACAUGAACUCACCUCUAGUUACUAACCCACUCAGAUUUCCCGACCCUGAAAGUAUAUUUCAACCCAAAAUAACUCCUACUCACCACAAUAACUCCUUCCAGGUCUAUUCCGUUUCCUGAAUAUGUUCAUUCGUUUUUUUAGCGGGAAUUCCGUUUCCUGAAUAUGUUCAUUUCGUUUUUUUAGCGGAAACCGAGAGAAAAAGGAAAGAGGUUGGAGUUUAGGGGAAAAAGAAAAUACACAAUGCAAUGGGAUUUCGAAUAAUAAGGUUUGUACACAACAUUAUCGUUCUGGAGGACUAUGAUCAUGUCAUUAAAUUUCAUCCAAAGAAUUUAUUCUGGCUUGUGAAAAGUGCGGUAUGGAGGAUUAUCGUGUUCAUUCAGCAUUUUUGUAUCGAAGAGGAGAUGGUAUCGUGGACCCUGCGGAGUACAACUACAACAAGAAGUAA